This 2468-nucleotide ribosomal RNA is filed under the name Streptococcus pneumoniae. Its description in RNAcentral is "bacterial LSU rRNA". The stretch from base 732 to 2468 matches the Rfam family "Bacterial large subunit ribosomal RNA". Lineage: Bacteria; Bacillati; Bacillota; Bacilli; Lactobacillales; Streptococcaceae. The record is from RNAcentral.
UUAGACUCGUUAGCUCAGUUGGUAGAGCAAUUGACUUUUAAUCAAUGGGUCACUGGUUCGAGCCCAGUACGGGUCAUAUAUGCGGGUUUGGCGGAAUUGGCAGACGCACCAGAUUUAGGAUCUGGCGCUUAACGGCGUGGGGGUUCAAGUCCCUUAACCCGCAUUAAGAUAUAACAAAUGAGCCGGCUUAGCUCAGUUGGUAGAGCAUCUGAUUUGUAAUCAGAGGGUCGCGUGUUCAAGUCAUGUAGCCGGCAUUUUUAGAUAGAAGAAAACAGUGCGAACGUAGUUCAGUGGUAGAACACCACCUUGCCAAGGUGGGGGUCGCGGGUUCGAAUCCCGUCGUUCGCUUGGAGAGGCCGGGGUGGCGGAACUGGCAGACGCACAGGACUUAAAAUCCUGCGAUUGGUAACGAUCGUACCGGUUCGAUUCCGGUCCUCGGCAUAAUAUGGAGCACCCUUAGCUCAACUGGAUAGAGUACCUGACUACGAAUCAGGCGGUUAGAGGUUCGACUCCUCUAGGGUGCAUUUUUCUAUUUAACUCGGGAAGUAGCUCAGCUUGGUAGAGUACUUGGUUUGGGACCAAGGUGUCGCAGGUUCGAAUCCUGUCUUCCCGAUUCAUUACAGAGAUAUGUGAGUGUGUAUUUUUAAAACUAGAUAUUAUAUACAUUAAGAGGGAAUCAGUUUGGUUCUCUCUUUUUUGAUUUUCAGUAAUUCAUUUUGGCAACGUAUACUUUUUGUCUCCAGUUUUUUCAAUAAAUACCGUAGUUUAGGUAUACACAUUGAAAUUUAACAGAUUUUAUAACUCUUAUAAAUUUUUAAGAAAGAAAUAGAAGGGUUUUGUUCAACGUAUAAUUUAGAGAAUUGAAAUAAGAUAUGAACAGCUNUCCUGUCCACCGUAAGACUAAGGUUUCCAGGGGAAGGCUCGUCCGCCCUGGGUUAGUCGGGACCUAAGGAGAGACCGAAAGGUGUAUCCGAUGGACAACAGGUUGAUAUUCCUGUACUAGAGUAUGUAGUGAUGGAGGGACGCAGUAGGCUAACUAAAGCAGACGAUUGGAAGAGUCUGUCUAAGCAGUGAGGUGUGAAUUGAGUCAAAUGCUUAAUUCUAUAACAUUGAGCUGUGAUGGGGAGCGAAGUUUAGUAGCGAAGUUAGUGACGUCACACUGCCAAGAAAAGCUUCUAGCGUUUAAACAUACUCUACCCGUACCGCAAACCGACACAGGUAGUCGAGGCGAGUAGCCUCAGGUGAGCGAGAGAACUCUCGUUAAGGAACUCGGCAAAAUGACCCCGUAACUUCGGGAGAAGGGGUGCUGACUUAAAGUCAGCCGCAGUGAAUAGGCCCAAGCAACUGUUUAUCAAAAACACAGCUCUCUGCUAAAUCGUAAGAUGAUGUAUAGGGGGUGACGCCUGCCCGGUGCUGGAAGGUUAAGAGGAGUGCUUAGCGUAAGCGAAGGUAUGAAUUGAAGCCCCAGUAAACGGCGGCCGUAACUAUAACGGUCCUAAGGUAGCGAAAUUCCUUGUCGGGUAAGUUCCGACCCGCACGAAAGGCGUAAUGAUUUGGGCACUGUCUCAACGAGAGACUCGGUGAAAUUUUAGUACCUGUGAAGAUGCAGGUUACCCGCGACAGGACGGAAAGACCCCAUGGAGCUUUACUGCAGUUUGAUAUUGAGUGUCUGUACCACAUGUACAGGAUAGGUAGGAGUCUAAGAGAUCGGGACGCCAGUUUCGAAGGAGACGCUGUUGGGAUACUACCCUUGUGUUAUGGCCACUCUAACCCAGAUAGGUGAUCCCUAUCGGAGACAGUGUCUGACGGGCAGUUUGACUGGGGCGGUCGCCUCCUAAAAGGUAACGGAGGCGCCCAAAGGUUCCCUCAGAAUGGUUGGAAAUCAUUCGCAGAGUGUAAAGGUAUAAGGGAGCUUGACUGCGAGAGCUACAACUCGAGCAGGGACGAAAGUCGGGCUUAGUGAUCCGGUGGUUCCGUAUGGAAGGGCCAUCGCUCAACGGAUAAAAGCUACCCCGGGGAUAACAGGCUUAUCUCCCCCAAGAGUCCACAUCGACGGGGAGGUUUGGCACCUCGAUGUCGGCUCAUCGCAUCCUGGGGCUGUAGUCGGUCCCAAGGGUUGGGCUGUUCGCCCAUUAAAGCGGUACGCGAGCUGGGUUCAGAACGUCGUGAGACAGUUCGGUCCCUAUCCGUCGUGGGCGUAGGAAAUUUGAGAGGAGCUGUCCUUAGUACGAGAGGACCGGGAUGGACGCACCGCUGGUGUACCAGUUGUUCUGCCAAGGGCAUAGCUGGGUAGCUAUGUGCGGAAGGGAUAAGUGCUGAAAGCAUCUAAGCAUGAAGCCCCCCUCAAGAUGAGAUUUCCCAUAGCGUAAGCUAGUAAGAUCCCUGAAAGAUGAUCAGGUUGAUAGGUUCGAGGUGGAAGCAUGGUGACAUGUGGAGCUGACGAAUACUAAUAGAUCGAGGACUUAACC